GUAGGUGAACCUGCGGAAGGAUCAUUACCGAGAUGGGGGCCCCCCGCCGGGGCCCGCGCCUCCCACCCCGUGCGUAUCGUCCCCCGAAUCCCGGUUUCCCGCCCCGGCCCCCCGGGGCCCGCGGGCGGGACCCCCCUUUCCAAACUCCGCGCGAAUCCGUGCCGUCUGAGUGGUGAUGCGAAUCGACAAAACUUUCAACAACGGAUCUCUUGGUUCUG
Molecule: unclassified non-coding RNA, 218 nt
Filed under: rhizosphere metagenome
Description: partial ribosomal RNA internal transcribed spacer region
Source: RNAcentral